UUCCACGUGGGAUUUUCCUCCUCACACAUCCGGACCCCCUCUCUCUUCUAUAUUUUUUUCCCUCACAUCUUUCCCACUCUAACUUUCUCCCUCUCCGGAAAUCACACAUCACCACCUCCGCCGAAGCCACGCGGUGGAGACCGCACCAACCACCACCACCUUAAGACCCUCCUAGUCUUGAUCUCAAACUAGGCCGAGGCCCUUCUCUUUCAUUCUCUCUCUACACAAUGGCACCAUCACUGUGCAUAUUUUCCUCUGGCGAGCUUUUGAACUUCCGACAAUGAAAUCAACUCGAGGAAACUUCCCUAGUUUUUCAACGAGAGCCACGAUUUUUGGAGGUGAUUUUCAGGCCUCUCUAGCCACCUAUUUUACUUGGGUGUGAUUACUAUCAGAGACUCCAACUUCUCCAAUCCGAACGGCUGUGACCUCACGAACUUGGAACCAACCAUUUCAUGCACGGGUCGACGUUAAGAAGGAGUUUUUAAGGACAUAGAGAGCUUUGAAUCAUCCUCACGAAGCUCAGAAUUAUCGAGCUCUCUCCAGCAAGUUUUUGUUGAUUUCAAGCCUUGAAAUUGGUAAGGAUGUGUUCUUCUAGUUAUAAGCUUUAAAUUGAGACCAAUUUCAUGAGUUUUGGUUAAGAUAUGACUGAGAUACAAGGUUUUAAAGUUUUUCCCAGUUUUCGGUAACAGCGACGGUCGCCGGAGUUCGAAGGUACGGGAUGAUGGAAUAUUCCUAACCACGUUGGUUAGUUUUAACGGUUUCUGUUACUUUUUAACUGAAUAUUCCUAAUGGGGUUAGGGGAUUCUGUUAGGGUCCCUGCGCGUAGGGCCGUGCCCUUGCCGGCCCGUGAGGGCUCCAAAAUUAUUUUAAAAAUUUGGGUGUGUUCGUGUAGUUGUGUAGGUCACAAUGGUAUAUUUAUAUACCUCAUUUGAGCAAUGUAUGAGAAGUUAUUAGCUAGUAUUGGUUAUGUGC
Non-coding RNA from Malus domestica (apple), 972 nucleotides. NCBI's taxonomy places the organism in Eukaryota, Viridiplantae, Streptophyta, Magnoliopsida, Rosales, Rosaceae. The record is from RefSeq and is a predicted model, not a curated record.